GUGGGGAAUAUUGGACAAUGGGGGGAACCCUGAUCCAGCCAUGCCGCGUGUGUGAAGAAGGCCUUUUGGUUGUAAAGCACUUUAAGCGAGGAGGAGGCUACCGAGAUUAAUACUCUUGGAUAGUGGACGUUACUCGCAGAAUAAGCACCGGCUAACUCUGUGCCAGCAGCCGCGGUAAUACAGAGGGUGCAAGCGUUAAUCGGAUUUACUGGGCGUAAAGCGCGCGUAGGUGGCCAAUUAAGUCAAAUGUGAAAUCCCCGAGCUUAACUUGGGAAUUGCAUUCGAUACUGGUUGGCUAAAGUAUUGGAGAGGAUGGUAGAAUUCCAGGUGUAGCGGUGAAAUGCGUAGAGAUCUGGAGGAAUACCGAUGGCGAAGGCAGCCAUCUGGCCUAAUACUGACACUGAGGUGCGAAAGCAUGGGGAGCAAACAGGAUUAGAAACCCCAGUAGUCC
This 451-nucleotide ribosomal RNA is filed under the name uncultured bacterium. RNAcentral's name for it is "partial 16S ribosomal RNA". It matches the Rfam family "Bacterial small subunit ribosomal RNA", at positions 354 to 796 of the family's 1533-position model. The record is from RNAcentral.